This 429-nucleotide ribosomal RNA is filed under the name Bacteroidota bacterium. Its description in RNAcentral is "Bacteroidetes bacterium partial 16S ribosomal RNA". It matches the Rfam family "Bacterial small subunit ribosomal RNA", at positions 355 to 776 of the family's 1533-position model. The record is from RNAcentral. Lineage: Bacteria; Pseudomonadati; Bacteroidota.
UAGGGAAUCUUCGGCAAUGGGGGGAACCCUGACCGAGCAACGCCGCGUGAGUGAAGAAGGUUUUCGGAUCGUAAAGCUCUGUUGUUAAGGAAGAACGAGUGUGAGAAUGGAAAGUUCAUGCUGUGACGGUACUUAACCAGAAAGGGACGGCUAACUACGUGCCAGCAGCCGCGGUAAUACGUAGGUCCCGAGCGUUGUCCGGAUUUAUUGGGCGUAAAGCGAGCGCAGGCGGUUAGAAAAGUCUGAAGUGAAAGGCAGUGGCUCAACCAUUGUAGGCUUUGGAAACUGUUUAACUUGAGUGCAGAAGGGGAGAGUGGAAUUCCAUGUGUAGCGGUGAAAUGCGUAGAUAUAUGGAGGAACACCGGUGGCGAAAGCGGCUCUCGGGUCUGUAACUGACGCUGAGGCUCGAAAGCGUGGGGAGCGAACAGG